Long non-coding RNA from Mauremys reevesii (Reeves's turtle), 996 nucleotides. RefSeq lists it as uncharacterized. The record is from RefSeq and is a predicted model, not a curated record. The transcript has 3 exons. NCBI's taxonomy places the organism in Eukaryota, Metazoa, Chordata, Testudines, Geoemydidae.
GUGGCCACCCAUGGCGAUGCCGUAGCCACCACUAGCGUCAGAGGAGCCGCUGGGGCUAUGAUGGCUGAUGGCAUCAAUGCCAGAAGAUGGGCUGGACGGCUCAGUCUUAAUGAAGGAUCCGCAGCUAGAGCCCAUGUACCUGGUAAGUGUACCACCAUCCUGCCGUCAGAAGGUCAAACCCAUCAGAGACAACAGGACAGAGCUUCUCUCAUGUACCAAAAUUACAGUAUGCAUGAGAAGAAUAUGGAGUCCAGGACUGGAAUGGAUCUGCAGAUCAUGACUGAGGCUCAUCAGCGGACCCAGAACUGGAACAGCAAGGGGUUCUGAAGUCAGGCCUCAAGUGCUUUGGGACAGCUGUGUGAAGGAAAAAUGCACAGCAAACGCCCACAUCGUGCCUUAAUUUUUAGCCAGUUCUAAGUGCCUUUCACUUCUCUGAGCACCAACACACACAAAAACCCCAAACCAAACCAAACGUGAAAUUUCUCCCUGUACCUUCCCAAAGCACAUGACAUCACUGGAUGGAAAAUAAAAAUAAUCAAAUACAAAAAUACUGAAGCAAUGGUUUCAACUGAGAAGCUGGAAUCCUCUCUCCCAUCCCUAGAAUUUGUCACUCUGCCUUAUGUUAUUUCUCAGGGACACAAGGGAAAUGCAUCAAACUCAACUACUUCAACGUCAGUUUCACUUCCUGCUCUCCUUUUUCAGUAUUUCUACUAACUGACAAAUAGAAGCCAACAGAGAGACAGAAUAACACAGAUGGGCAACCCAGGAAGGAGGAGAUUUGCAUCUACUUAUAUGGCAGACAUAGACUUCCACUAUGUACCUGCCUAGGGUGAGCAUUUUGGAUCAAAUGGUCUUCACUGUGUGUAUAUGGAAGAAGGUGGUUUUCAGCUGGGACUUUGGACCAAGGAGGCGCACAGAAAGACAAUGAAGAUUUGGGCGUUUUUUCCUAACAUUUGGCAGCUCCGUUAAGCAAAUAAAAAAAUAAAAACUGACCUG